Molecule: transfer RNA, 61 nt
Filed under: Mahanarva spectabilis
Lineage: Eukaryota; Metazoa; Arthropoda; Insecta; Hemiptera; Cercopidae
Description: tRNA-Ala
Source: RNAcentral
AGGAUUAUAUUUAAUUAUAAUAAUUGGUUUGCAUCCAAUAGGUACUGUCAAGUUAAUCUUA